GAGACAUGGUCUCUUCUUCCUCGUACCCUCUGUUACUUCGCCGCCGCUGGUAAACGCCGUCUUGUCCGUUUAGCCCCAAGUUAACACCACUGAUUCACCUUACUCUCCUCUUCCCAUUCCCCAUAUUUCCAUCUCUCGAAUCCUUUCCUAUCUCCUCGAAUCUUCAUCGGAAGUUUUUCCUGCCAUGAUGUUUCUUAUCCCAAACAAUCCCAAAAUAACAACGUAGAAUCGCCCAAGCUUCCUCAACCCAAUUCCCAUAGCCAUAUCCCUCGAAUCUGCCUAGAACCGGUCAAAUAUUAGUUUUUAUUUCUCCGGCCAAAAUGCUAAAACGACCAAAGUGUAUGAAAUUGACGUCAAGGGAUCCCUGGGCCUUCUGCAUAAGGAUUUGACAUUCAUUAGAGCCAAGCGUCAUCAGAAUUGGCCGAGUUUUGAAGUAGUAACUGGCCGAUGUUUUCUUUUCAUCAGUGAGUUUCCUGGUUUUUACUUUUAUUUUAUUUUUGAUUUUCCUUAUUUAUGUUUAUCUGCAUGCUGUUACAAUUGGUGGUUUUUGGAUUUUCAGUUUGGUUUGAAUGUCAAAAUCAGUUAGUUAAAGUUUCCAGAUUAAUUCGUUAUGUUAAUUGAUUUUGAAUUAGUUUUGAAGCCUUAUCGGAAUAGUUUAAUUGUUAGAUGCUUGAGGCACUUACUGAUUACUGCUUUAUUUAGCCAGGUUUAGUGUAAAUAAGUAGUUUAAUCUUAGUUUAGCUCAAUAUAGGUGUUCAGCCUUCAUUUCAAAGGGGUUUGGGUAGACCAAUAAUUUCAAGGGGGUUUUAAGGGUAGUUUAGGAAAUAAAUAAAGGGAAUACUCUCAGAUUUGGGGAGGUCACAUGUGGGGGGAAAUUAAGGUCCUAUUUUGGGAAGUGUAGGUCAUAGAAGCUUCUAGUAUUUUUUUUCACCUAUAAAUUGGCAUUCAUUUGCCUUGUGGGGAGGUAUUCUCUGAGCCAUUUUAAGCUCACAAAAAUACUUUUUCCACUCUUCCAAUUUGAAGAAGACCGUCUGAAACUCAGAAAACUAAAAAAAACACAAAAACAAAGAGAAAAUGCAGUAAACAAAGGGCGCACCCACUAGUAUUGUUACAUCGUGUUUACGCUCAAUUUUUAAAUUUUCAUUAGCAGUUCGAGAUUUCAGGAUUUGAUUUCAAGGUCCUGGAAUUACCUGAUUGGUUUUACUUGAUUUCAAAUCAUUCCUGGUUUUUAUACUCGUCACUGGUUUCAAGCUUAGCAUAUUUUGGGUUGCUGAAUUAUCUCUGGACUGCUGCUGCUUACCAUUUGUUGUGUUUGACCUCAUUUUCUCUCUUAUUUUGCAAUCUCCAGGUAUGUUCCCAGAUUCAAAGUGCUGGAACAAAACUGAUAUGUAGAAACUUAUUUGAAAUCAAGUAAUGGAGAAUUGAAGCUUAGAUUGUUUGAUUCGUUGUACCUAUAUUUUUGCAUAUUUGCUUACAGUGUUGUUUAGUUUGCUUAUAAUUCUCGUGUGGUUUGUUAAAUUGGAUUGAAAUUUCAGCAGUGUAUAACUGGAUAGUUUAUUAUUGUUUUAGUUCGUGGUUAAACUUGAUUUGAUUCCAUGCUUUCCUUAGAUCAUGAGAACUCCAUAGAUAAUAGUGUUCUUUAGUUCAUGAUUUCAGUAGUAAAUAAUACAUUUCCUAUUUUCAGUAGUUAGCAAUCAAAUUGGGAACUCGUCAGUGUAAACUAGCUAUAGUGUUAAGCAGAAAUAAGAGUGUGUUUUAAGCAAAAGAAAAAAGAGGUUCAAAGUAAGGGCGGUGGAAUUGCACAAGAGUCAGGUAUAAGCAUGUUUGUGUAUUGUUACAUGAGUUGGAACUUCUCAAACGCGUGGGGGGAAAUUGCUUCCAUCUGGUUUUGAACUUGCGUCGGUUAAUCUGCGGCAAUGUAAUGGGACACUUUAAAUAUUAAUGAAUUAGGGUCUUCGUUUAUUUUAGAUACAAAUAGACAAUUGUAGUUGCUUUAGUUUACCCUUAAAAAUAUAGAUAAUGAGACGAGCCUCGUCCAAUGAAAUACAAAUUACGGGGCCCUCAAUAACUGCUAUAUAAAAAUAUUUAUAAUUCGGGAGGGUCAUUUAGUGAAUUUUACGGCCUUUCAAAAAAAAUAUUGUGUUAGAUUCUUUAGGCAUGAUUUUGACAAAUUACAUUUCUAAACUCGGGUGCGCAUUGAUGCGACCUAAAUAUAAAUCUCAACUGAGUCGAAACGUGUUGACAACCACGGGUGCAUUGAUUGUGACGUGGUUCGAGACACAUUUUUACGAUGUUGCAAUUCUUUUAAAAUAAUGAUAAAAGCGGUUUACGAAUAAAAAUCACAUAAGCUAGCAUGUACUAAAAUCAGAUAAAAUCAAAUACAACAGUUAAGCGACCGUGCUAGAACCACAGAACCCGGGAAUGCCUAAUACCUUCUCCCGGGUUAAUAGAAUUCCUUAUCCGAAUUUCUGGUUCGCGGACUGUAAUACAGAGUCAUAUUCUUCCUCAGUUCGGGAUUCAACCGGUGACUUGGGACACCAUUAAUCUCCCAAGUGGCGACUCUAAAUAAUUAAUAACUAAAUCUCAUUCCGAUCGACCUUUAAUUGGAAAAAGUCCUUUACGCUCUCGCGGGUGUAGGGGAAAAAGAAGAUGUGACAGCUCUGGCGACUCUACUGGGGACAAGAACCCAGAACAUUUUGUUCAGGGUUCAGAAUUCAAGCUUAGAUAAAUUGUUGUAUUUGGCUAUAUCUGAUUUUCCUACAUGGUUCAUACUUAAUGUGCUAAAUGUUACCGCUUUGAAAUUAUCUGAAGUGUAUAUGAACUGUGCCGACACCCUUCUCUCUUCACCUAUGGGGAUGUGCUUAUUGGUUUCCCGCUCUGGUUUUCGAACCAAGCCUUUUUUUAUUUCCGUGCACCUUUCCUUAUAAAUAUGGGAGAGGUUGAAUCUGAAUCAUCUUUUGAACUUUUUGGAGAGCACUUUCUCAACCUUUACCUCGUCUUUCUCUGGUACCCAUUGAUCUUUUCUUUUAAAAUAUUCGUUCCUGGGAAUCGAACCUUGUAUCCUUAAAACGCCUUUCUCUCAUUACUUUCAUCAUGACUAAAUGUCGUCACGAUAGUACCAGGACCAAGGGUGAUGCCCUCUCUAGGGCUUCGUCGUCCUCAGAUGAUGGGGAAGCCGAGGAGGUUCUCAUUCCCCUAUCAACGGCCAAUAUUCUUCCACUGGAUAUGGCUGCAUGGAAAUAUUUUAAGAACCAAUGUAAACUUUCCACCAAACGUCAUCACGAUAGUACCAGACCAAGGGUGAUGCCCUCUCUAGGGCUUCGUCGUCCUCAGAUGGUGGGGAAGCCGAGGAGGUUCUCGUUCCCCUGUCAAUGGUCAAUAUUUUUCCAUUGGAUAUAGUUGCACGGAAAGAUUUUAAGAACCAAUGUAAACUUCCCCCUUGGGAACUCAGUGAACUGACGCCGUCUCAUUUGGUUACUCUUAGGGAGUCGUAUAGUAUCCCUAACUACAUCGAGAUGGAUCCCACCGGGACGGACUAUGCCAACGUGCAUAGGCUCGGAUAUUGCACAUUUUACGAGUAUGCUUUUCGAAUCGGGUAUAUCCUCCCACUUUACCCUUUGGCAUAGGAGCUUUGUCGCUUGUACGGGGCGUGUCCGACCCAACUUACUCCGUACGUGUUGAAGGUGUAUAGGAUUCUUACCACCUAUGCGGUGAAGGCUGAGAAAGAGUUAACAUUCACCAACUCUUGCAAAUGUUCGGUGUGAGCUUUAUGAGAGGCUCAAUGCUCCAGUUCGUAAGCCGGGGCAAGAAGAGUUUUGUGUUGCAAGCGGACGACAAGGCCAGCCGUAAAUUUGGAAGAGAUUUUUCGAUGUGCGUACUGAACACCUGGUGUCGUACCGUUGAUACCGUUUGUGGAGGAAUGCCGUACCUGACCGGAAUUCCUCGGGCUCUAUGUCAAGUCAAGUAACGGCCUUGCUUGAUAUUUCCUUUUUGUUCUGACAUGGGGUUCUCCAUAAUUUUUUUGCCUAUCUUAUACGUUUUUUGGUAGGUCGAGGCGCCUCUAAGAAGGCACAUAAGAAGAAGAAGAAGAAAAAGAGAGCCGUGGCCGGCCCUUCUAUGGCGGCAUUUGACCUUGGUGAAGAGGAUUUGAUCCUCGUAGGUACGUCCAGGGGUAGUGUUUCUCUCCUCUCAAGGCAGGAGAUCGCAUCAGGGGCGGCUACAGAGUUAGUGUCUGAGAUAGUUUCAGGGGCCUUACUUGAAACAAUGCCCAAAGAGAUACCGGCGGCUAUGCCUAGGACCGUCCUCGGGGUUGCCCCCACAAAAGCGCCCACUGUCGAACCGUCCCCUUCUGAGCUCGUCAUGCAUCCCACUGACGGGGACCUUGAAGAGGAAGAGACGUUGGAGAGGAGGAGACGUCGGAUUCUAACCGCAAGGUUGUGGUUGUGAGCACGUGAUUUUUUCCCUAUAUAUGAAUAAUUCCCAAAAAUCCAAACAAAAUGGCUUUUCUUUAUUUUUAUAAUUUUUGUGUAUUUUUGUGUUAUUUUUUAUUAUUUGUUUACGCAUGUUAAUUCAUAUGAAAAUGCAAAAAAAAAUAUGCAUGCGCAUUUAGGAUUUAAUUUCAUAUUUUAGUAUUAAUUAGGGAUUAAUUUAUUUUAGAACAAAGCGUGAAAAAUCACUAAAAAUAGUUCAUUUUAGUUUUUUUAGUUUAAUUAUAAAAUUGUUACAAAGGAUACUCAGGCAGUUAUCAGGGCGAAUGGUGGUGGAACGAUAUAGUCAAAGGAAAAGUGGAAGUGAAGAAGGCUGCGUUCGUUAGGUUGGUCCGGAGCACAAGCGAGGAUGAUCGGCGAGCGAACAGGGAGAUCUACAAGGUGGCAAGGAAAGAAGCAAAGAUGGCAAUCACGGAAGCUAAAAACGCGGCGUUCGGUCACAUGUACGAAGAGCUAGGGGAGAGAGGCGGGGAUAAGAAGUUAUUUCGGUUAGCUAGAGCGAGGGAGAGGAAGGCGCGUGAUCUAGACCAAGUUGGGUGUAUCAAGGGCGAGGAUGGUAGAGUUCUGUUGGGGGAAACUCAAAUCAAAUAGAGGUGGCAGGAGUACUUUCGGGACUUACUUAACGAGGAGGGGGAUCGUAACAUAGAGCUAGGAGAACUGUGGCACUCAGAGCGUCAUAGGGACCUUGGGUACUGCAGGCGCAUUAGGGUAGAGGAGGUCAUGGGGACUCUGCGUAGGAUGAGUAGGGGUCGAGCGACCGGGCCUGACGAGAUCCCGGUGGAGUUCUGGAAGAGCGCAUAAGGGUAGAGGAGGUCAUGAGGGCUCUGUGUAGGAUGAGUAGGGGUCGAGCGACCGGGCCCGACGAGAUCCCGGUGGAGUUCUGGAAGUGCAUGUGUAAGUUUAGGGGGGAGUGGCUCUCUAGGUUUUUCAAUGCGAUCUUCAGGACCAAAAGGAUGCCGGGCGAGUGGAGAUGGAGUUCAGUGGUGCCCUUGUACAAGAACAAAGGGGACAUCCAGUGCUGUAACAAUUAUAGGGGUAUCUAAUUGAUAAGUCACACCAUGAAGGUUUGGGAGAGGGUGGUUGAGACGAGGGUGAGGGGAGUGACAACUAUAUCUGGGAACCAAUUCGGUUUCAUGCCGGGUCGCUCCUCUACUGAGGCUAUCCACCUCGUCAGGCGGCUGGCGGAGCAAUUCAGGGAUAAGAGGAAUAUUUUUAUACAGAUUAAAUUUUUUUUUAAUAUUAAUUAGCAACGAAAUUAAUUAUAUUAAUAUUUACUAUCUCACAUAAAUACUCCUAACAUAUAUUGCAAUAUUAUUUACUCCAAGAAUAAGUUAGAAAUAAAAUAAUUAAUUCAUUCUUGAAAUCUAAAAAAAUUAUUUAUUUUGAACCACAAAAAAAAGAUCAAAAAACUAUUUAUUUUGGACCGAAAUAAAUAAUAUUUUACUAGUAUAUUUAUACUUCUUUCAUCUUAUUUUAUGUGAUCGUAAGACUUCUUAAAUUUAUCUUAAAUAUAUUAUAAUAUUUAUAUAAUUAUAAAACUUGUCAUUAAAAAUAAAGUAAGAAGUUAAACGGUUUUCUAAUUUAAACAGACUAUAACUUUGAACAGAUGCAGAUUCAAUUUUGAAGUGGUUUAUGAUUCCUACAACAUCUUCAUUAAAAACAUAAUAUGUAAUUGAGUUUACAAUUAAAUAUUUAUAAUAUUAUAAUUUGUUUGGAUAGUUAUUACUUAUCGUAUCGUAUUAUUACUUUAAAUAAAAUAACUAUUUUCAUAUUACUUAAAUUUUAUUGUAUUGUAUCGUUAAAUUUAUCGUUAUGUAAUGACGAAAAAUAUCACUUUAUGUAACGAUCAAUUUGGUGUGGUCAUAACGUUACCUUAAUUUUCCUCUCGUCAUUCAUUAUUAAUAAUAAUCUUAUUUUAUACUUUUUCAUAGACCUGCGAUGCUAUAUGGGGCGGAGUUCUGGCCCGUAAAGAAUUCCCAUGUUUAGAGGAUGAGGGUCGCGGAGAUGAGGAUGCUUAGGUGGAUGUGCCGGCAUACCAGGCUAGAUAAAAUUAGGAAUGAAAUUAUUCGGGAGAAGAUGGGGGUGACCUUGGUGGACGAGAAGAUGCGCGAAGCGCGGCUGAGGUGGUUCGGGCAUGUGCAGAGGAGAAGUCCUGAUGCACCGGUGAAGAGCUGCGAACGGCUGGUGAUUGCUGGCGGUCGGCGCGGCAGAGGGAGGCCCAAGAAGUAUUGGGGAGAGAUGAUUAGGCAGGAUAUGGCUAGAAUGCAGGUUUCAGAAGACAUGACCCUUGAUAGGAAAGCCUGGAGGUCUAGUAUCAGGGUUGUAGGAUAGGGGCACCUAGAGUUUCUCGUCCGCUCCUCCCGGGUUGGGGGUGGGGUAGCAGGGUUAUUCAUAGAUGAUAUGUGUUUACUGUACGAUACUAUUAUUUGUUAUUGUAUUUUGGUAUUUUGUUUCCUUUGUUCAGAUUAUUUCUAACGCUAUUUAUGCUGGAAUUUCUAUUGCACUAAUGAUAUACUNNNNNNNNNNNNNNNNNNNNNNNNNNNNNNNNNNNNNNNNNNNNNNNNNNNNNNNNNNNNNNNNNNNNNNNNNNNNNNNNNNNNNNNNNNNNNNNNNNNNNNNNNNNNNNNNNNNNNNNNNNNNNNNNNNNNNNNNNNNNNNNNNNNNNNNNNNNNNNNNNNNNNNNNNNNNNNNNNNNNNNNNNNNNNNNNNNNNNNNNNNNNNNNNNNNNNNNNNNNNNNNNNNNNNNNNNNNNNNNNNNNNNNNNNNNNNNNNNNNNNNNNNNNNNNNNNNNNNNNNNNNNNNNNNNNNNNNNNNNNNNNNNNNNNNNNNNNNNNNNNNNNNNNNNNNNNNNNNNNNNNNNNNNNNNNNNNNNNNNNNNNNNNNNNNNNNNNNNNNNNNNNNNNNNNNNNNNNNNNNNNNNNNNNNNNNNNNNNNNNNNNNNNNNNNNNNNNNNNNGUAGGGGUAAGGCUCGUCUGCAUAUUACCCUCCCCAGACCCCACCUGGUGGGAAUACACUGGGUAGUUGUUGUUGUUGUUGUUAUAAAAUUGUUACAAAAUAGUGUUAAAAGUAAUUUUAGGCAUUAAUUAGUCUAGUUUAAUAUUUUUGUUUUAAUUUUUGUAAUCUUCAAAAAUUAGAAAAUUACUAACAAAAAAUAUAAAGUGGAAAAAACAAAAAGGAAAUAAAAGGAACUAACCAAAAAAAAGAAAGAAAAGGAAUAAAGGAAGAAGGUUGUUUUAAUGGACCAAGUUUGGGCCAAAUGUGUUAGGCCCGAGUUAGUAUAACACUGCCCAUCCCAAUCCCCCAAACCCGGUCCAAGUCUACUAAGAGAUUAAACGACGUCGUUUGGCCAAGGUCUCUGUGAUCUCGACCGUUCAUGCCCUCAUAUCGACGGUCCAGGAGCAUUGGGUUGUUUUACAUAUAUAUGUAAUAACUCCUUUGUUAAUAUCAGAGACAGACCGUGUCUUCCUCGUAUCAACCCAGCCCCUGUAGUGCCACCUUGAGCCGCCGGCUGUAAAUCUCCUCCGUCAGCGGCGACGCUCCAAAUCGUCCCAAAAUCACACCUCGAACCCUCCUUCACCUCCUCACUCCGAAUGCAUCCUUGGUUUUCUCUAAAUCACCACCCAAAGUCUCGAAUGUUGGAUUGAAAAUCAGACCCAAAACGCUAAGUUGUCCAAAGUUGACCAAAAUCACACCAUAUAGUCUCUUAGGCAUCCUCACUCCAAAUCCCUAACCAAAAUCGCUUAAAUUUGAGUGGAACUGAACGAGUUACGGAUCUAGGAUUCAUGUUGUUCAAGGCUGUUUCGAGAUUCUUCAAGUCGAGUGAGUCCCAGUUAAUAUUACAGGUCUAUGCCUGACGAAAUAGACGUAUAAUAUUAACCGGGAUUCAAUUUCGAAUGGAUCUCUUGCAAAGUCAGAAUUACAAUAAGCUUUCGUCUCAUUUCUUUUAAGUUUUGUUUGAUUCAUACUUAAUCUGUUUAGUUAGUUGUAGUUUUAAUUUCCUAAUCAUUCUAAUUGGUAGUUUGAUUUUCAUACAAGUCUGUCCGUUAAUUAGGAUAACUCUUAGGUUUUCCAUCUUUUUAGCUCUGAUUUGGUUUAGCUUAAAUGUUCAAUUGUUAGUUUCUUUGUUAGGUGAUAGGUUGAUUUCAAUUAGUUCCAGUUAUUAAUCUAGUUGAAUUUCCUUUUGGUUCUACUUGAUUCAAUUGACUUUGGCAUUUCUAAUAAGUAAUUAGUUUGCAUUUGUGAUCCUUGUUUCCUGAUCUGUUUAAGUGUUGUUUAAGUGUGAAUUUCAAUUGUUUUUAACUAGUUUGUUAGUUUAAGCAAAAUGGUUAAAGUUGCUGGUUUAGUUCGGAUAAAAGAAGAGGCUGAUUUGGAGUAGUUUAGGGUGAAGUAGGGAUAAUUGAGAAAGUCAGGGGUAUGGUAGACAUUUAGGGGUGCACAAGUGUUGUGGUUUAAGCUAGAAUAUUUUAGGACCUUCUAGAAUAUGGCACAAGUGUAGGUUUCAGUAAUUUAGAUGUACUUACUUGAGUAACAAGUCAAAAAAUAGGGGCAGGAUAAGGAAUACAAGGAUAGGGAAUCUUUUAAAAUCUGAAUGGACAUUCUAUAUGAGGUUCACUUUAGAAUUCUAUAAAGUUUGGUGGUAUAACUUGGGAAACAAGUCAGUUUUUUAGGGAUACUUGAGCAAAAACGAAAAUUAGGAAAGGGUGUAAUGCAAAACUGAAAAUCUGAGUGUUGCCCCUUAUUUUUGCCUAUAUAAGGCACCCUUUAGUGCCUUAAUCAACAAGUUUGGCAGCCCAAAAAUACCCCAAGCUUCCAGAUCUGGAAUUUAGAUCUGAAAUUCCCUUAGCUUUCUUCACAUAGAAAAACCAAAAACAUUAGAAACUUUCAAACCCCCUCCCCCCCAAAAAAAGUCACUGUUUCAUAGGAAAUUGUAGGAUAAUUUGGAUGUUCUAGUUGUUAAUUCACAUCAUCUAGUCCAUUAUUUGAUUGCUGAUGUUCAGAAGGGUUGUUGGUUAGAUUUUGAGCAGCUUUGAGUCUGUUAAAUUGGUUUUGGGAUGAGUUCUGGUAGUAAUCCUAUGUGGAUUGUUUGUGUGUGAGUUAAAUCCCCGGUUGCUGAAGUUCAUUUCAAGUGAUUUUAGGUGGCUUCUUUGGCUGAGUAUGCAUUGCUGAGAUUUCAGAAGUUCGGAGUUCAAUUUAGAAUCUGUUUGAGUGCAGUCAAGUAAUUUGUGAUUGAUAUUUGGGUCUCUGUUGGUUUCAAACUCUUUCUGGGUCAUUUUCAAGGUUAUUUGGUUUGUUUUAGAGUUGUUUUGAGUCGAUCUUUCAGUUCCGAUAGGUUUAAAAUCUUCUGGGAUCGUUGAUUCAUUUUUGGGCUAAAUUGAUUGUGUUAUUAUUGCUGCUCGAUUACUGUUUGAACUGACCUCUUCUCCUCCACUGUUAUUCUGUUUUAAGGUACUUCUUUUGAUCUUUUAUGAACUGUUGAAGGGUUGGUGUAUUUUGAUUGGAUGAAUAAACGAUGAAGUGAUGCUGUUUGAAGGCAAAUUGUGCAUUAAUUUCAUUUCUGGCUAUUUCUAUUGUAUAAAAUAGUUUAUUCACUUAAGGUUUCUUGUCAUUUGUGUAAUUGAAUUGUUGAUUUGUGAUGAACUAAAUGAAAUAUUAGAGUAACAAAUCAUUGUCCAUGUUAGUUUUGCUUAGUACUUAUAAUGUAAAUUGAAAUCGGAAGUUAGUUAAAACAGGGAGUUAGUUGGUUCAAGCUUGUGAUUAAUUGAUAACUGGAAACUCCAGUGUUAGAUCAGACAGGUUAUAAUUUGGUUUGUUUGGCAUAAUGUGAUAACUGGAAUAGAGAAGAUAAUGCCCAGAUCUACAAUUCUUCUUUGAUUAAAUUGGAAAUCGAGCAGCAAGUGGGCGGCAUAGUGUGAUAACUGGAAUAGAGAAGAUAAUGCCCAGAUCUACAAUUCUUCUUUGAUUAAAUUGGAAAUCGAGCAGCAAGUGGGCUAGCUAUUUGCUAUGUUUGAAAUCAGGUCUCGUCCAGACCAUUGUUAUAAUUAGUAAAAAUGUGGUAAUUGUCACUUUUGGUCUAAGAACAUUUCAGUUAAUUCAUUUGUUUUGAAAUAGCUCAUUAGCAAUCCUUAAGUGAUUCCUCAUCAAUGUUGCCUAAAGCUCGAUGCAUGUUAAGUGAGUGCGCAGAUUU
Molecule: long non-coding RNA, 10671 nt
Filed under: Nicotiana benthamiana
Lineage: Eukaryota; Viridiplantae; Streptophyta; Magnoliopsida; Solanales; Solanaceae
Description: long non-coding RNA (NBEN_LNC024840)
Source: RNAcentral